GAUGAACGCUGGCGGCGUGCUUAACACAUGCAAGUCGAACGGAAAGGCCCAAGCUUGCUUGGGUACUCGAGUGGCGAACGGGUGAGUAACACGUGGGUGAUCUGCCCUGCACUUCGGGAUAAGCCUGGGAAACUGGGUCUAAUACCGGAUAGGACCACAUUUUGGAUGGUGUGGUGGAAAGUUUUUCGGUGUGGGAUGAGCUCGCGGCCUAUCAGCUUGUUGGUGGGGUAAUGGCCUACCAAGGCGUCGACGGGUAGCCGGCCUGAGAGGGUGUACGGCCACAUUGGGACUGAGAUACGGCCCAGACUCCUACGGGAGGCAGCAGUGGGGAAUAUUGCACAAUGGGCGCAAGCCUGAUGCAGCGACGCCGCGUGGGGGAUGACGGCCUUCGGGUUGUAAACUCCUUUCGCUAGGGACGAAGCGUUAUGUGACGGUACCUUGAGAAGAAGCACCGGCUAACUACGUG
Molecule: ribosomal RNA, 466 nt
Filed under: uncultured bacterium
Lineage: Bacteria
Description: partial 16S ribosomal RNA
Rfam family: Bacterial small subunit ribosomal RNA
Source: RNAcentral